Molecule: unclassified non-coding RNA, 394 nt
Filed under: fungal sp.
Lineage: Eukaryota; Fungi
Description: partial internal transcribed spacer region
Rfam family: Eukaryotic small subunit ribosomal RNA (bases 1-46)
Source: RNAcentral
AAGUCGUAACAAGGUUUCCGUAGGUGAACCUGCGGAAGGAUCAUUAACACGUAUCCAACGUUAAACAACCCUGUGAACCUUGAACGUGCUCCUGCGGCCCCAUGAAAUCAGCAAUCCCUGGUAAAUCAUCGCCGAACAGUUUUCGAUUCAGGGAUGUCUGCAAGGAGCGUGCAUGUUGUGCGAGCAAGUGGCCUGGCAUCCCCAAGCAGUUAGUGUCUGAAAGUGUCAUUAACUGUGUAAGGAUGACGCAGUCACGAUCGUUGGAGGCCCACACGGCCGACGACCGGGUCACUGGGCGCAAGCCCCCCUAUAACAAACGCUGCUAAUCGCGGCCGCGAUAAUACGCAGUCGACCAAAAACCGAACAACUGUUAACAAUGGAUAUCUUGGUUCUC